This is a long non-coding RNA of Hyla sarda, 453 nucleotides long. RefSeq lists it as uncharacterized. The record is from RefSeq and is a predicted model, not a curated record. The transcript has 4 exons. NCBI's taxonomy places the organism in Eukaryota, Metazoa, Chordata, Amphibia, Anura, Hylidae.
ACCCCAUCCCCAUCAGGAAUCCGAGGAGGAGAGUGAGGACAGUGUCCCGUAAGUGUCGGCCCCCCAGGACUCCCAGGAUAGGCCUUUCAAAGAGCCUGAACCACGUCCUGAGCCUCAACCCAGAAGAGGAGGAAUUGUGGUCCGUGGCAGAGGACUUAGUUGUAGAUGGGCCAGGUGAUGGAGGAACACUCUGCCUAACCUGAUCGUAAGGAAUUCAUGUGGACCAACCUCUCUUCUCCUAGUCUAGUGUUGGACCUAAUCUGCAGAGCGCUGCACCCGUAUGAACAGAUGCCAUCCGUUAUGAAAACCCACUUCUUCAGAAAUAAGGUACACAGAGCGCAUGCGCUGAGGCGAGUGUCUCUGCUCCACAGUAACGGCCAUCACAUGACAUGCCACCUGAUCUCACAGAGCGGAACGUCACUUCCGGUCCUGCGGACGGAUCCCGGAAGCGCC